CUUGGGUGAAUUGAAAGCAGAUUUUUGGAUUUAUGUACAUAUGGAACAUACAGAUGUACUUGUAUGGCAGAUAAAACUCUAGGUCACAGAGACCCAAUUACAGAGUGUGUGGAUCCUAUGGAUUGUGUCCUUGUCCCUUUAGAGGAAGUACAUUUAAGAACAUUAACUCAAGGCCUGCCUAUUGAACUAGAGAGUCGACAUUACUUCAGAUACUUCAGAUGUAUUCAUAUCCACUCAGAAUUACUUUCCACCCUCAAGAGGAGAGCCCACAACCUGAAUGGCUAUGAGUGCUGCAGUGGCUGCUGAGCAUCAGGCAAGCGAGAGCAGCAGUGUAGAUCACAGCCCAAGACCAUUGAUGUAGCGGAGUUAUUAAUUUUCUCUUGUGAAAUGAGAGGACAUGAGGUAUAAACUAGGGGGAGAUGGGUGCUUUUGACAUAACACCAGCCAAUCAGUGGCAGUAAAGUAAGCGAAGGGCUGUCACAUGAGUACUAGAGCUACCCAAGGACUUAACCCUCAAAAGAUAUACUGGGGGAGAGAGGGAUAUGGGAAGCGAAGGAGGAAAAAAGAGAGGCAGAGAGAGAGAGAGCAUAGGCAAAUUGGUGUUUUUCUGGUAUUAAAUGGUAAACAACUCUGUUUUUAGUUGUUUUUAUACUGCAGGACUGGCGUUCUUGUGGAUUGUGGUGGGAUUCGGUGUUUCAGUGUCGGCCUUUUGUUCUCCUCAAGCACUUGGGCUCCCUGAACGGUUGAGGCCAUCGUUGGAGCAAGCAAGGAAAAAAUAAUACCAGAGAUGUCUAAAAGCAGAGGCUAAAAGCGGCCUGAGCUAGCGGCCUGCUAAAAAAACAAAGCACUGCCCAGGGGAAGAGCGAAGGGUCGGGCAGCGUGGUCCGGACUUGCCACAGCCGCGUCUCUCUGCGUCCCCUCACUCCCUUUCUCACCUAUAUGUAGACGAAGGCUCACAGCAGGGCAGUAUAGCAGAUCUGACCACAGGUAAACAUGGCCACACCACAAACGUGCUCACCUAGCACCAUAAUGGACAAAAAUACCGCACUGCAAUG
Ictalurus furcatus (blue catfish) is the source of this 1055-nucleotide long non-coding RNA. RefSeq lists it as uncharacterized. NCBI's taxonomy places the organism in Eukaryota, Metazoa, Chordata, Actinopteri, Siluriformes, Ictaluridae. The record is from RefSeq and is a predicted model, not a curated record. The transcript is spliced from 3 exons.